GUCCAGAUGACGAGUCUCAAAUAGGACGAAAUGCAUGUUGUCCGGGAU
This 48-nucleotide non-coding RNA is filed under the name Trichobilharzia regenti. Lineage: Eukaryota; Metazoa; Platyhelminthes; Trematoda; Strigeidida; Schistosomatidae. The record is from RNAcentral.